AGGGAGGAAGCCAGGAGACUUUUCAUGGAGUUCCAUUCCUCCCCCAUGGGAGGUCAUACUGGCAUCCUUAAAACAUGGGCAGCAAUCUCUUCCAGGUUCUACUGGACCGGGAUGUCUGUAGACAUAAAAAAUUGGAUCUUAGAAUGUGACAGAUGCCAAAAGGUUGGAAAACCAUUGACUGCAGUGGGGGAGUUGCAGCCGAUAAAGGUCUCUGGCGUGUGGGAUUUGAUUGGGAUCGACCUUACUGGACCACUUCCCAAAACUGUCAAUGGCUUUCAAUACAUUUUGACAGCUACUGAUUUUUUUUCCAAGUGGGUGGAAGCUUUUCCACUCAAGUCCAAAUCAGCUGCAGAAGUUGCAAGAUUUAUUCACGUUUUCAUAAAGUUAAUAAAUAUAUUU
Neoarius graeffei (lesser salmon catfish) is the source of this 399-nucleotide long non-coding RNA. RefSeq lists it as uncharacterized. NCBI's taxonomy places the organism in Eukaryota, Metazoa, Chordata, Actinopteri, Siluriformes, Ariidae. The record is from RefSeq and is a predicted model, not a curated record. The transcript has 3 exons.